ACUCGAGUGGCGAACGGGUGGGUAACACGUGGGUGAUCUGCCCUGCACUCUGGGAUAAGCCUGGGAAACUGGGUCUAAUACCGGAUAGGAGCCAUUUUUAGUGUGAUGGUUGGAAAGUUUUUCGGUGUAGGAUGAGCUCGCGGCCUAUCAGCUUGUUGGUGGGGUAAUGGCCUACCAAGGCGGCGACGGGUAGCCGGCCUGAGAGGGUGGACGGCCACAUUGGGACUGAGAUACGGCCCAG
Molecule: ribosomal RNA, 241 nt
Filed under: uncultured Actinomycetales bacterium
Lineage: Bacteria; Bacillati; Actinomycetota; Actinomycetes; Actinomycetales
Description: partial 16S ribosomal RNA
Rfam family: Bacterial small subunit ribosomal RNA
Source: RNAcentral